GACGAACCGUGCGAAUGUUGUUCGGAAUCACUGGGCUUAAAGGGCGCGUAGGCGGGUCGGAAAGUCCGCGGUGAAAUCCCCCCGCUCAACGGGGGAACGGCCGCGGAUACUGUCGGCCUCGAGGGGGGUAGGGGCGAGCGGAACGCUGGGUGGAGCGGUGAAAUGCGUUGAUACCCAGCGGAACUCCGGUGGCGAAGGCGGCUCGCUGGACCUUCACUGACGCUGAGGCGCGAAAGCCAGGGGAGCGAACGGG
Molecule: ribosomal RNA, 253 nt
Filed under: uncultured bacterium
Lineage: Bacteria
Description: partial 16S ribosomal RNA
Rfam family: Bacterial small subunit ribosomal RNA
Source: RNAcentral